GCGCAUUUAGUGUAGUGGUAUCAUAGUACCUUCCUACGGUACUGAUUGGGGUUCAAUUCCUCGAAUGUGCA
Molecule: transfer RNA, 71 nt
Organism: Ipomoea nil (Japanese morning glory)
Lineage: Eukaryota; Viridiplantae; Streptophyta; Magnoliopsida; Solanales; Convolvulaceae
Rfam family: tRNA
About the family: Transfer RNA (tRNA) molecules are approximately 80 nucleotides in length. Their secondary structure includes four short double-helical elements and three loops (D, anti-codon, and T loops).
Source: Rfam